UGAACCAUAUUCAGAAAGCCAUGUGAA
RNAcentral lists this non-coding RNA (27 nucleotides) under Mus musculus (house mouse). Lineage: Eukaryota; Metazoa; Chordata; Mammalia; Rodentia; Muridae. The record is from RNAcentral.